Thalassophryne amazonica is the source of this 186-nucleotide long non-coding RNA. RefSeq lists it as uncharacterized. Lineage: Eukaryota; Metazoa; Chordata; Actinopteri; Batrachoidiformes; Batrachoididae. The record is from RefSeq and is a predicted model, not a curated record. The transcript is spliced from 3 exons.
UUCAUGCAAAUCACUGCUUGCUGUAAACCACCUCACUACACACUCUAUACUCUCAAAUAGGCAUUAACAUGUUCUCACUUUUCUCUCCUGUGUAAACACUCUCUUUUUUCUUCUGGGUGAGAAGAUUAUAAACGGACACACGCAGAACACAAUGCGCAUGCUCUCCCAUUGCUCACUGCCUCCAGG